Molecule: long non-coding RNA, 543 nt
Organism: Galeopterus variegatus (Sunda flying lemur)
Lineage: Eukaryota; Metazoa; Chordata; Mammalia; Dermoptera; Cynocephalidae
Exons: 2
Source: RefSeq, a predicted model, not a curated record
GGUAGAAGAAGUGAUUGCAAGUGGUCGACAAACAUCCAAGAAUGUGAGAACUGGCUUGAACAGCAGCAGAGAGCAAACAAGCAGAAGAAGCAAGCAAAUCGAGAAACUAGAAGUAGAUCCUAGCAAGCAUUCGUUCCCUGAUGUGACUAACAUAGUCCGAGAGAAAAACCACGCACCCAGAAGGUUGGGAUAUGAACCCAAAAUUAUACCAAGUGAGGAAGAUCCAGACUUUGAAGAUAACCCUGAAGUGCCUCCACUGAUUUGAAACAUCAGACUGUGUUGUCAUUGACUGUGACCCACCAAAUCCAGUUUUGCUUGGUGCAGAGAGUAUAUGCAUUAUCAUUUCCAGGGUAAAAAUGGAGUUACUAUUACUCCAAUGUUUUAACUCCUACUUUGUACAGUAAUAUUCUUAAACUAGUUUAAGUUAAAAUGUGCUCCUUAAAUAUGCUAUAACUCAUCAUUUGUCUUUAAUAAAGGGUUGGCUAGUGAAAAUGGUCAGUGAAAUCAUAGAACUAUUACAUAAAACAUUGAUUAUACAUCAUA